UUGAAGAUAGGAGAGCCUUUCUAUCCCUGAAGGUAGGUAAUGGAAACAAGAUCCUAAAUCCAAGACCACCAACUUUUUCAAAGAAGUGAUUUGAUCUAUUUUGCCUAGUUCAUUGAGUCCAGCAAAAACCAAAAACUGAAGGUUGCGGAGCUUUUGAACGAAUAUGGUACUUCUUAAGGCCUACAAUACCACUUAGAUUCAAAUAUGCCAAGCGUUUAAGAGAGGAAAUCCAUUCCACGAGUUCCUCUGUAGAGAUCUUCUCCAACUUAGUCUGGGAGAAAUCCAACACUCUGAGAGAACCAAGCAACCCAAAAUGCCUACCAAAAACAACUUGAUCAUUGGUUGACAUUAUCAGCAAGGCUCUGAGCUUUGAACUUUUCUUCAAUGGUUCUGGGUUCAUUUCACUUGUAAAACCCAACCAACGAGAAUUUGCAGUCAUUUCCUGCUUGCCCUGUUCAUCAAAUUUGCCAAAUGACUCUUCCUCUGCUAUUCUAGUGGCCAGUUCCCUCACCAUGUCAUGCAUCUUGCAACAGUAGACUCUUCCAUCAUAUCCUCGUCUAUUCACAGCUUCAACCAAGCACCUAGUGACUAGUUCAGAGAGGUAGCGAAAACCCAAUUCUUUUGCGGUUUUUGAGCCCUUGCCCUGGAUUAGCCCCUCUGCAACCCACCAAUGGACCAGUUGCUCUGCUUGUAUCUCCGAGUCUUCAGGAUAAACGGAGAAACACAAUAGACAUUGUUUUAAAUGUAUUGGAAGUUCAUCAUAGCUCAGUUGAAGAGACGCCAUCACUGAGGUAAAAUUUCUUCCGGCAGUCAGUUCAUGAAAAUUUUCAUUGAUUUCAUUCCAUUGGAGAACUGAAUUUGAUCUUGGAGCCAAAAGUGCUGCUACUGCCUUGAUUGCCAGUGGAAGUCCCCCGCAUUUCUCCAAGAGUUCUUUACCAACUCUUUCGAAUUGAGCAUCUGGGCAUUUUCUAUCCCUGCACCUGGAAAACGCAGAUUUGCUGAACAGCAACCAGCUAUCAUUGGCUGUUAGCAAUUUUGGCCGAUGAAUCCGUGACUUGUCAACUCCCAUGCUAGUUAAGACUUCUUCGUUUCGAGUUGUGAUUAUGAUGCAGCUGCUUUCUCCAACUGCACUCUGCAACCCUGAGAAAAAUUGAACCACCAUCCUUGAUUAAUGUUCCACACAUCAUCCAUAACAAUGAGGCAUGACUUGCCUUUAAGUAGUUCAUUGAGUUUGUGCAACAUUUGAGCUUCAUCAGACACAGAGCAACGCGAUUCUAAUUGUUCCAGCAUGCUCCUCAUGAUCCUCAUGUCAUUUGAAACUUGAGAAACCGACACCCAAAUCAUGUUAUCAUAACGACCAGCUACAUGUUGAUCAUUAAAAAUUUUCUGGGCAAAGGUGGUUUUACCCAAGCCUCCCAUCCCGACGAUGCCGACUAGGAGAAGUUCAUCUUUUGUGUCACCAAUCCAGCCUCUUAACCUUUUCAAAUCCUCUUCUAGUCCAAUUAUCUCAGACGGAACAUAGUCCUGUGCUGUGUAUUUCAUACUCUGGGAUGUGUUAUCUCCAUGGUCGCUCUGGUCCUGGUAUUUUAAAUGCUCGCCUAGUGACUUCUCCAUCUCCCCCAGUUGUGCAUUAACGUCCUUCAACUUCUUGCCUGUUUGAUACCAGAACAGUGGCUUCUGAAGUGUCAAACUGGUGCAGGAUGCUUCUUUCUGAUAUUCGUCUCUAACAAGACAAUCUGUCAUUAUGUUGUCAGCUUCGUAAAUUAGGUCUCUCAAUCUAAUCAAAAUGGCCUUGACAACUUUCUUCUUUUCCUUGAGGUUCUCUGUGUCAGCAAGCAGGGCCUUUGUAAGGUCUAGCCUGGUCUUCAUCAAUUCGAACUGAUCUUUGAAGUCAAGUGCAAAUCUAGCAUGUUCUUGCAGAGCUGUGAACACUUGUUUUGUCAGGCUUUCAAGCAUAGCACCUACUACUGCCAUCUUCUUGUAUUUUACCUGUAGAAGAAAGGUCUUUUUUUUAUUCCAUAGUCAUCUAUAAUGAUAAAUCACGAAUGCGAUACAAUCUAAAGCGUCCUACAGACCAUAUAGAUUUUAAACUUCAUUCCCAUCUGUACCAUUCUGAAAUUCGAACAUUUCAUCAAUUACAUGCAAGUAAAUCAUAGAAUUUCUAUUUUCUAGUCCUUGAAAAAAACAUUUGAUUAGAAAAAUGGAAGGCACGUCCAGUUUCAGCAACAACCUACGUUGGCAAAUUGACUCCUUGGUUCAACGCAGGAAACCUUAUCUGAUCACUCGUAACUCAACAUAACAAAUGAACAGCCUUUAAAAGAGAAAUUGAGUUAGAAAUGCUUACCGAUGGCCGCUUAUAGAUCUUGAAUAUUCAGGGCGGAAAUUUAAAUCCUGAAAGGACAGAAAAAGUUUAUCAAUCAAAGAACAUACGGUAGAAGUGAAAGCAUACCUAAAUGGCCUGAAGACUAAGAUGGCCAUGAGAGCAAGAAAAAGAAAAAAUCACCUUGCUGCAAGUGGUGGAGUUCGUCUAGCCGUACUAGAGAUUAGAAUAAUUUUGGGGUCAUCAUUGCUUGUAUAAAAGGGCUGAGGUAUAGACGCUUUGUUAAAGCCACUUUCUCUUUUUCGGCAUUUAUAGGGGAAAAAUAGAGGAAAAACAAAAAAGAAGAAGAUAAAUAAUGGGGCCACCACUAAAAAUGACCUAUGGAUUCCACAACAUCUAUUUUAGACUUGUCAAGAUAGUAAAUUCCCUUCAAAAUUAUUUUUCUUGAUAUUCCUUGUAGAUAUUCAAGAAUAAGGGAAUUAACUAAAUUUUUUUUUAAUUUUUGCAAUAUUGUGUCCUUUGGAUGACUAAAUUGAUGCAUUUGAUUUUCUUUAGUUGUCUCUCUCAAAUAAGUUAAGAAAACACACAUCCAAAAACUUGGUGAAAACAAGAGCCAGCUUUGUGAAAACAAUAUUUUCCAAGAAGAUUCCAAUAAAAAAGACCAGGGAGAUCAAGGAAUAAAAGAAAACAAUGAGAUAAAUAUCCAUAAAUAUAGAGAAAUUGACAAACCACACAAUCGCAAGCUAUAUCGACCAUCAGGGCUUGCAGGACAGACUGCAAAUCGUUCCAAGGUAUUGAUCUCUUUGAAAAACACACAAGGACUUCAAGGAAAAGAAACCAAGGAGAUAACUAAAUAAAAUCAGAUCUUCACUUUUGUUUCUAUUCCAAUAACAAAUGAAUUAAACCACAAUUAUCUUAAGAAUUAUUGAGAUAGAUAACAGAUUAUGUUCAUAAAUCUUCUUCUCUUAGUGUUUACCCCGUAAUUCUCUGUCUCCUAUCCAGCCCAUUCUCCACAUGAAAGCCAACAGCAGCAGCAGAAACAAAAUACAGCUUACUGCAAUCACCGCGAUUUCCCAAGGACGUAGUUUUCUGGGAACUUUGGAAACAAAAAACAACAGCUUGUAUAAUGCAAGCAAUAAUUUAUUCUCAGAGUAACAGAAUUCUGGGUGUUAUGAGAAAAGGGUAAGUGUUGCUUCCUUUCCUACCACGGGUGACUGAAAUAGCUGAUAUGAGAGGUCCAUUGAUAGCAGGUGGAUUGUACAGAGAUCCUUUGCCAGUCCAGAAGAAAUGGAUCUCCAACAAACCAUCACGUAUUUUGGUUCUUCAUUUUGUCCUCCAAGAGCUUCCUUUAUAUCGAGGUCUUUCUCCACUCUCUCUUUCUGCCAUCAAGAGUUCCUUAAGAGUGUGAUAUUACUACAUAAAUUGACAUUCUGAAAAGUGAAAUACUUACCUGAAUAUACACAUCGAACACGCGUUUCCCUACUCUGCUGUUAUCUUCUCCCUUUGAAUAUAAUGUUUCAGCAAAAUGAAGUAUCACAUGGUUCUUGCCUUUACUCAAGCAAAGCCCAUAAUUGUUAUCUAAUUUUGCCUCGGGACUAGAAACUUCACAUGUCGAGUUUCUUACUAAAGUAUUGUCAUUGAUUUUGGCCCACAAGUAGUCUCCAGAAUAGCUAUAAGCCCAAUCCUCAUUUGGACUUUGAAAAAAAUUUGAUGUUGAGGUAUCGUUAUGAUAAUGGGCCUUUCCCACGGUGACCUCCUCGCCACCACAAUUUAUAAACAAUGAAUUAUCUGCGAGAAAAGUUAUUUUCAGUAGAAAUAUGAUUGUUCCCCAUAAAGUGGAUAGAAUUCAGUAGAAACAUUUCUCUCUAUAUUAUUAUCAAUGAUUAAGUUCGAUGAGAAUAUCAUCAAUAGACCUCUUUUCUAAUUUUAGUGACUUCCUUCUUCUUGCAAGGAAGUGUUAUGUUCAAACCCACUCUUUAGAGAGUUCGAGACUGAAAAAUGCCCUUUUAAGGAGACCAAAAUAGCUCCUCAACUUUGGCCAUGGUGGCCAAUCUAGUUCAUGUACUAAUGCUAACUCCUAGACAGUUUGUCUAAUGACUAAGGAUUGUAGCAUUCUAUCCGUGUAAAGAAAGAACAAGAAGGUUUAAAUAACUAAUUCCAAUUUGAUAUAUAGUUUAUGCGCAACAACUUCAUUUAGCUAUCAGAAGAAUGAACAUACACUUUCGAUGACAUUCCUUCUGCAUCAUCUUAUCUAUGAAAGAUCUAAGAAAUUAACAGAGAAAUUUGUUAGAAAUAUUUUGUAGCACCCGACAUCGCGGCGGCCUUAAAAAUUUCUUUAAAUCUUUGGAAAGAACGGAUUUCUGACAUUCUGUUCUUUGAUGGGAAUAUUCUUUGUUUAAGGAGUCGCCACCUAGUAUUAUGGUUACUAGGAACCCUAACUAGUCAACAGAGAUUCUAUGAUCCGAGACUGAUUAUGUAAAAGGAAAGAUAUUAUCGCUCCUUAAACGUCCUACCUAAGGCAGGCUACAUUGCUGAUCUUUGUUAUUAAUUGCUAACAUUUUUUAUUGGUUUAUUCUAUGAUUGCUUGUGUGUAAUAUCCCUGACUCUGGCGCCAGUGAAUAUUCAACUACAGAUAUUUCUAACUCUGGCGUUUGUAAAUAUUACAUAGGUAUCAAAAUAAAUAAAUUAAAAUAUCAUUUUUUUUUUAUAUUCUUGACUUUGACGUCAGUGAAUAAACAAAUAGAAAUCAAUUUAAAUUUUUUACACAUACACCUUUUUUAUUUUUUAUGUAGCUAAAUAAAACAACAACAAAAAAAAUAAAAUAAAUUUACAUUAGUAUUUUUUUAUUCCUGACCCUGGCGUCAAUGAAUAUACUAAAUAAAUUUAUCCUAUUUUAUCUGAUGUGAAUAAAAAAAUAAAAAUCAAUUCAUUUCUUUAUCAAAAUUUUUUUUUUUACGCAUGCGAAAAAAAAUAAAAUAAAUUUACCUUAGUAUUUUUUAUUCCCGACUCUGGCGUCGGUGAAUAUACUAAAUAAAUUUAUCCUAUUUUAUCUUAUGUGAAUAAAAAAAUAAAAAUCAAUUCAUUUCUUUAUCAAAUUAUUUUUUACGCAUGCGAAAAAAAAUAAAAUAAAUUUACCUUAGUAUUUUUUAUUCAUGACUCUGGCGUCAGUGAAUAUACUAAAUAAAUUUAUCCUAUUUUAUCUUAUGUGAAUAAAAAAAUAAAAAUCAAUUCAUUUCUUUAUCAAAUUAUUUUUUACGCAUGUGAAACAAAAUAAAAUAAAAUAAAUUUACCUUAGUAUUUUUUAUUCAUUACUCUGGCGUCAGUGAAUAUACUAAAUAAAUGUAUCCUAUUUAAUUUUAUGUGUUUUUUUUGUCAAUGAAUAAAUAAAAAAACAAUAAAUUCAUUUAUGUAUAUAUUUUUUACCUACACAAUUUUUAUUAUAUAUUUGUUUAUAUUUUUUUAUUUUUGGGCUGGGCUGGGCUAAAUCCAGCCCAACAGGUGGCUGGGCUCAGCUCAGCCCCACAGGAGCUGGGCUGAACCCAGCCAGCCCGGCCCGGGUCACUGGCCGAAGCCAGUGACCCGGCCGAAACAAGAUGCACGCGUGAUACAGAUCACACGUGCAUCAACAGUGCGAAGGUAAUUAAAUUACCUUCGCACUGUUCAAACAAUUAUUUGAACACGAGGAACAGAGAAAAAAAUGAAAAGGCGCACCAGUUUCUGGCGAUUGAAGAAGACGGCAACGCUGGUGUGGCUGCUUUGAGUCGGCUGCUUUUUGUUUCUGGCGAUGCUGAGGCAGGUUGGAACGACGGUAUGGCUCGACUGCUCUAUGUCAAUAACCCACGGUUCGGUGAUCAAUUGGGUUUCUGCAGGGGCGAAAACAGUUCGGACGAAAAACGGUUUCUAGCAGGGACGAAAUCUGGAUUGAUGUUGCUGUUCUUCUCUUCCUCCUUUUUUUUUUGUGUUUUUGUUUGCUCUUUUUUUUUUUUUGUUAAUUGCUCUGUUUUUGGGUUUUUUUUUUUGUUCGGUUUCCUGUUCUUAGCUCUGUUUUUCUAGGUAAAUUCUGGGUUUCUCUUUCGUUUCUUUCUGGGUUUUUUCUGGGUUUUUUCUUGGUUUUUUUCUCUAGUUUUUUCCUCCUUUUCUUCUGGGUUUUCUUCUUCCUGUUUAUAGCCAAGCUAAACCCUCCCCCUGCGUCCUAUCUUUGCAGGACUGUGUUUAUGCCUCCACCACCGAGAUCAUCGACAAGAGACGUGGUCCAAGAUCAGAUUUGUUGAGGAUUAUCAGCUCCCCUGUUGAAUCGGGAGCUUCCCUGUUGAAGCGGGAAGGAGAAGAACGCACGGCUGUUGCUUAGCAACGGUGCCGUUUUGGCUGGAAAACGGGAAUUUUCAAUUUGACCCCUGAACUUUGGAAAUUCUGCAAUUGGACCCCUAAACAAAUAUAAAUUUCUUUUAAUUUUGCCCUUUUUUGGAUAAAUUUCAAUUAAAUCUCUAGAUUGGUACACUGUUUACAAAACAGUCCUUAAUUCCUGGAUUAUUCAAUUUGGUCUUUAAUUAAUUCUUUGCCCCCUUUGGAUAAAUUUCAAUUAAGUCCCUGAAUUUAUUUAAUUAAUUAAAUCAAAGUUUAAUUAAGUCCACAAACUUAUUAAUUCUUCUAAUUUUAUUAAUUAAAAUAAUCUAAAUUUUAUGUAAAUUUCCAAACUUAAUAAUUCUUUAAUUUCUGAUCAAUUUAUUUUCAAGUCAGAUAAUUUCAUUCCUGAACUUUGAAUUUGCAUUAUUUUAAUUCCAUUCUCAAAUAUAUUUUUUUAAUCAUUGAUUUUGUAUUCUUUAUUAAAAAUUGGGCUAUGACAGUUGCUCCCUCUUUAUAAUAUUUACGAUGCAAAUAUAUUGAAAAAUUUCAUUUUUUUUAGCUUUGUAUAGUAAAUUUAUAAAGAGGGAGCAACUGUUAUAACCCAAUUUUGAAACAAAUAAUAAAAAUUAAAUAUAGUUGACAAUGGGGUUAAGACAACAAAUUUUGAAGAUUAGGGAUAAAAUUAUCAGAUUUGAGAAUAAAUUGGUCAGAAAUUGAAGAAUUAAUAAGUUUGGAAAUUUACUUAAAAUUUGGAUUAGUUUAAUUAAUGAAAUUAGAAGAAUUAAUAAGUUUGUGGACUUAAUUAAACUUUGAUUUCAUUAAUUAAAUAAAUUCAGGGACUUAAUUGAAAUUAAUCCAAAAGGGAAAAAUUAAAAGAACUAAUAAGUUUGUGGGCUUAAUUAAACUUUAAUUUGAUUAAUUAAUUCAGGGACUUAAUUCAAAUUAAUCCAAGGGUAAAAUUAAAAGGGAUUUUAAUUGAGGUCCAACUGUCCAAAAUUCCAAAGAAAGCAGGGGUCAAAAUGAAAAUGUCACUUUCUGCCGAAACGGCGCCGUGCUGGGGAUCGUGCAUCUUCUCCAUCCCGAUUCAACCAGAGACCUGAAAAUCUGCAACAAAUCCGAUCAUGACCCCGUCUCUUGCCCACGAUCUCGGUCGUGGAUUCCAUAACAGUCCUGCAAGGGCAGGACUGGUUGAGGGGCAAUCUUCUCUAUAAAAGGGAGAAGAAAACCCAACAGCAUGGAGGAGGACUUUGGGGGACAAAAAACCAGGAACGAGAGACCGAAGACCGGAACGAAACAAAGGCAGAGCAGAGCAGAACCAGGGGGAAAAGGGAUCACAACCCAGAACACAGAGAAGAGGAAGAAAAACUGGAGGAGAAGACAGACCCAAACCAGACAAAAAAUAAAAAACCCAGGGGAAGACAGUGGCGGGUUGAAACAGAGGAAAGGGAAGGCAGAGUUCCUUCAUAACUUCGACAGCCGAAAACAACAAACGAAAACCGGAGGGAGCACAGGAGAUCGAUCAAAUACCAAAAGCAAGGGAACCAGCCAUUCGCAGAAUCACAAGAACAAAGAGGAAAGAAGGAGACAAAACGUGCAGCAGAAUAAAAAAGGAAGAACACAAACAGCAAGCCGUCACCUUCAUCAUCACCGAAGCAAAGGAAAGCAGAAGAAGGAGCAGAGGAGAGGAGGCAGCGCCGGCCAGCCAGAGUUCUUUUUUCUUUUUUUAAUUUUUUAGUUUUGUUUAAGACCAUUUUACUAGUAUUUAAUAAUAUAAAUUCAAAACAAAGUUCUUAUGGUUUAGACUUUUUUUAGUAGAAUUUUAUCUUUCAUCAUGACCAGUCUCCAUCUAGCUGAACUUUCACUCUAGAAUUUCUUUUUUUUUUGAAAAUAGAUUGUGGCAUCUCACUUUCAAUCCCAUAAAGACAGAAAUAUUUCACAUUUGCAUGAGCUCCCAAGUGUAAUAUAUUAUGCCAUUAUGGAAUAUCAAAACAACAAUAAUAAAAAUACUCAUUCCAUUAUGAUGUUAUUGAAAUUCUACAGAAAAAUACAGGAUUUUCUUAAAAUAAACACUUAGUCUUUCUGAUGCUGAAUACAAAUCACAACCAAACUGAACAAAAAAACAAACAAACAAGGCAGCACACAGAGUUCUUGCCACACCGGUACAUUUUCCACAUCCUCAAAAGCUUUGUAGAGAAGAUGAUCCUUUGUUUAUUUUUUUUUUCCUAUUCCCAACUCUUCGAUCUUCAAUCUUCACUCCUCCUCCAUGUAGCCAGCUUGUCGAGAGGAUGUGGAAAAUUUCUCAAAUUCAGACAUCCACUGACCUCUGCGUAUUGUAACGAAGGCAUAUCCUCUUCCACCUUUUUCCAGUCCAGCUUCAAUUUUUGCAGGACCUUAAAACAUAGACCUUCAAUGUUCCAAGGAAAAUCUCUUCCAUCUACAGACAGAGGACUUGUUUGGAAGUCAAUGAUCUCUCCAUUUUCAAUACAAAUGUAUUGCAAUUUAGAAAGCCUUUCAGGAUUGAUCCAUGUAGGAAGAGUAUCUUGGUGAUAACGCCUGAGAUACAACUCUUGGAGACUUGGAGGAGGUGAAAGGAUAUUAAGCAUCGUAGAGAUAAUGUUGUCUUCACAAUCUUGGGCAUCAAUGGCUAGUACCUUAAGCUUCUUGAGCUUCAAGAGUACCUCCCUUUCAUUUUCCGUAAUUUCACUGUCCUUGCCGAUACUCAUUCUCAGCACUCUUAGGUGGACAAGUUUUUCAAGAUCACAAAACUUGCAACUUGCUGCUGAUCUGCUAUUGGAUGCCACUUUGAAUCCAGACAGUUCUUGAAGAUAGGAGAGCCUUUCAAUCCCUGAAGGUAGGUAUUGGAAACAAGAUCCUAAAUCCAAGACCACCAACUUUUUCAAAGAAGUGAUUUGAUCUAUUUUGCCUAGUUCAUUGAGUCCAGCAAAAACCAAAAACUGAAGGUUGCGGAGCUUUCUGAACGAAUAUGGUACUUCUUUAAGGCCUACAAUACCACUUAGAUUCAAAUAUGCCAAGCGUUUAAGAGAGGAAAUCCAUUCCACGAGUUCCUCUGUGGAGAUCUUCUCCAACUUAGUCAGGGAGAAAUCCAAC
This 9772-nucleotide long non-coding RNA is filed under the name Populus tremula. RNAcentral describes it as "long non-coding RNA (PTRE_LNC002618)". Lineage: Eukaryota; Viridiplantae; Streptophyta; Magnoliopsida; Malpighiales; Salicaceae. The record is from RNAcentral.